CGAUGUCUGAAUUUGAGUGUUCUAAUAUUGCACAACAGUAAAUCUCAAAGGAUGAAGUUGGUUAUGGUACAGGAGAGAAAUUUCUUCAUAGCAAUGACCAUCAGACCACCACUAGCAGGGACCAGCCAGAGAUAAUGGUAGAAGGAUACAAAUGCUUAUAAGUAACCAAUGGAAAGCAUGUGUUGCCUCAAAACGGAGCUCAAGGAUGGGGAUAUAGUUGAGUUCGGAGUUGC
Molecule: long non-coding RNA, 233 nt
Organism: Lolium rigidum
Lineage: Eukaryota; Viridiplantae; Streptophyta; Magnoliopsida; Poales; Poaceae
Exons: 3
Source: RefSeq, a predicted model, not a curated record